AAAGUUUGCACUCCAAGAAAAUAUAUCCAGGGCAGGCGGUAGAAAACCGCAUUUUAAUACCGCCCCCCCCCUCAAAGGCGCCAAAGUCGCGCACACGCCAGUGACAGAACUGCAGCGCCGCUGAAGGUAAGGUUUGUAACAUACCUAAU
This is a long non-coding RNA of Amblyraja radiata (thorny skate), 149 nucleotides long. RefSeq lists it as uncharacterized. The record is from RefSeq and is a predicted model, not a curated record. The transcript is spliced from 3 exons. Lineage: Eukaryota; Metazoa; Chordata; Chondrichthyes; Rajiformes; Rajidae.